ACAGAACAGUCAGAAAGGAGCAUGCAUUCAUGCAAGAAAUUUAUUAACUUAACUCCAUCUCAAUACAAGCUUGAAUAUUGAUAGUAAUAGAUGACCUAUCAAAACUACGACUAGGUAUAAAUACAAUUCCCUAAGCAAACUGAUGAGCAACCAUAUAUGUAGAACACUUGACAGAUAACAAUUGAACAUUGUCUAGACACUGCAUAAAACUUCGACAUUCCGAAUAAUCACUCCAAAAUGAGACCGCAUUGGAAUUGCAGACCUGAUGGCUUGAACCACAACCAAGCAAUCAGACUCGAGGGUAACUGAUAACCAUUUCUUCUGAUCAAUCCAGCUUAAUUAAGCCUUCCUUCACAGCUAUGGCCUCCGCAAAAACUGGGCUAAUGCACUCCGACUUAGUUAAGACUUUUGUUUCUAUCAAUCUUCUAUCUGAAUCUCUAGCGACCAUGCAUUCCGAAACCAACUUCAGAAAUAGUUGCAUCAACGGAAACCUUAACUGUGUUUGGUUGGGGCUUUGCCCAGGAAGUAACUCCAUCUCUAUUAGCCUGUGGUUCAAGAAGAAUGCUAUAAGACCUGCUGCGAUUGUAAAUUGUGUAAGCCUGUGUUUCGCUGCUGCUACUAUCUUGUUAACAGAUGAGAAUUUCUGAUUCCAAACUAGAUCCUUGCGAGCCCUCCAGAUGGCCCAACACAGCGUCUGCAUAGUUAAAUUCAUUAAAUUAGAUAUAAGCUUCACACACUAAAUAUAUAAAUAGUAUAGUAAUGAUUUAACAAGAAAAUAAACUCAACACACUUUUUCUUAGUAGAUAAAGCUACGGCUUAUUCUUUAUAACAAAUUCACGCUACAGCAUGCAAAGAGCCUCACUUCUGUGUUUUACAAACUUGUAUAUCUUACUACGCAUGCAAGCAGUACCAUAAUAAGCCUGUCUAACACCUGCACACCUAUUCACUUAUGUAUGUUUACAAUUAAUA
Molecule: long non-coding RNA, 969 nt
Filed under: Daucus carota (carrot)
Lineage: Eukaryota; Viridiplantae; Streptophyta; Magnoliopsida; Apiales; Apiaceae
Description: long non-coding RNA (DCAR_LNC002614)
Source: RNAcentral